GGCGGCGUGGUGUAAUGGCUAACACAUCAGUCCGGUCUACUGAAGAUGAUGGUUCGCUCCCAGCCGCCA
RNAcentral lists this transfer RNA (69 nucleotides) under Meloidogyne incognita (southern root-knot nematode). It matches the Rfam family "tRNA". From Rfam's summary of the family: Transfer RNA (tRNA) molecules are approximately 80 nucleotides in length. Their secondary structure includes four short double-helical elements and three loops (D, anti-codon, and T loops). Lineage: Eukaryota; Metazoa; Nematoda; Chromadorea; Rhabditida; Meloidogynidae. RNAcentral also lists the same sequence under 1 other name. The record is from Rfam by way of RNAcentral.